This 300-nucleotide unclassified non-coding RNA is filed under the name uncultured Entrophospora. RNAcentral describes it as "uncultured Claroideoglomus sequence contains 5.8S rRNA gene, ITS2". The stretch from base 1 to 71 matches the Rfam family "5.8S ribosomal RNA", at positions 84 to 154 of the family's 154-position model. Lineage: Eukaryota; Fungi; Glomeromycota; Glomeromycetes; Entrophosporales; Entrophosporaceae. The record is from RNAcentral.
GUGAAUCAUCGAAUCUUUGAACGCAUAUUGCACUCUCUGGUAUUCCGGGGAGUAUGCCUGUUUGAGGGUCAGUAAAAAUAAAAAAUCUAUCAUGAAUCCUUUAAUUUAUUUUAUUAAAUCGGAACAUGGAAUUGGAUCUUUCAAAGAUUUCAUUAUUUUUGAUGAUCUUAAAUUUAUGUUAUAUGGCUAUAUAUUAUAAACUGAACCAAAAAGAACAAUUAUUUAUAAUUAAUCUCAUUUAGUGAUGUUUUAUUAAGCCAAAUAUGAUUUAUUUUGAUAUUUAAUAUCAAAAUUAAUCAU